UACCCGCGGAAUUUAA
This 16-nucleotide ribosomal RNA is filed under the name Stephanocyclus meneghinianus. RNAcentral's name for it is "Cyclotella meneghiniana partial 28S ribosomal RNA". Lineage: Eukaryota; Bacillariophyta; Thalassiosirophyceae; Thalassiosirales; Thalassiosiraceae. The record is from RNAcentral.